GAUUCGGUUCGGUUAGGUUUGAACUGAAUGUUCACCCCUAGUUUAGGUACUAAAAUAUACUUUGCCCUGUUUAUUUCAAUAUAUCCAAAGGUAAUGUUCCUUCUGAUAUUUGGGUUUGUUUGGUUAUUAAAAUUUUUGAGUUUGUUUAGAAAAAUUAUGUUUGAUUGUUAAAAUUUGGGUUGGUUUGGGGGUGAAAGUCUGUGGCCUGCAAGAAGG
This 216-nucleotide unclassified non-coding RNA is filed under the name Hevea brasiliensis (rubber tree). Lineage: Eukaryota; Viridiplantae; Streptophyta; Magnoliopsida; Malpighiales; Euphorbiaceae. The record is from RNAcentral.